Molecule: ribosomal RNA, 253 nt
Filed under: uncultured bacterium
Lineage: Bacteria
Description: partial 16S ribosomal RNA
Rfam family: Bacterial small subunit ribosomal RNA
Source: RNAcentral
UACGUAGGGUGCGAGCGUUAAUCGGAAUUACUGGGCGUAAAGCGUGCGCAGGCGGUUUUGUAAGCCAGAUGUGAAAUCCCCGGGCUUAACCUGGGAAUGGCAUUUGGGACUGCAAGGCUCGAGUGCGGCAGAGGAGACUGGAAUUCCUGGUGUAGCUGUGAAAUGCGUAGAUAUCAGGAGGAACACCGAUGGCGAAGGCAGGUCUCUGGGCUGACACUGACGCUCAUGCACGAAAGCGUGGGGAGCAAACAGG